GGUUUCAUAGUGUAGCAGUUAGCACGUCUGCUUUACACGCAGAAGGUCCUGGCUUCCCACCCCAGUGGAGCCA
Molecule: non-coding RNA, 73 nt
Organism: Pteropus alecto (black flying fox)
Lineage: Eukaryota; Metazoa; Chordata; Mammalia; Chiroptera; Pteropodidae
Source: Rfam